Molecule: ribosomal RNA, 777 nt
Filed under: uncultured Neocallimastigales
Lineage: Eukaryota; Fungi; Neocallimastigomycota; Neocallimastigomycetes; Neocallimastigales
Description: partial large subunit ribosomal RNA
Rfam family: Eukaryotic large subunit ribosomal RNA
Source: RNAcentral
CAUAGCGACUAUCGUGGCAUAUCAAUAAGCGGAGGAAAAGAAACUAACAAGGAUUCCCUUAGUAACGGCGAGUGAAGCGGGAAGAGCUCAAAUUUGAAAUCUUCAAGGUUUUACCUUGACGAAUUGUAGUUUAAAGAAGUGUUUUCUGUUGGAGUUUUGGUAAAAGUUCUUUGGAAUAGGACAUCAUAGAGGGUGAGAAUCCCGUAUUUGACCAUUAUUUCCAGCUGUGUGAUACACUUUCAAAGAGUCGGAUUGUUUGGGAAUGCAGUCCAAAAUGGGUGGUAAAUUUCAUCUAAAGCUAAAUAUUGGCGAGAGACCGAUAGCGAACAAGUACCGUGAGGGAAAGAUGAAAAGAACUUUGAAAAGAGAGUUAAACAGUACGUGAAAUUGUCAAAAGGGAAGCGUUUGACACCAGUGUUGUUUAGUUGAAAAUCAAUUAAAUAUUUUUCGAUUUUAAGUAGUAUUGACCUUAUCAGCUUGCUGCUUUUUUCUCGGAAAUUAUUUAAUGCACUUUUCGUUUAACAAGUCAACAUCAAUUUCUUUUGUUGUAAAAGAGUAAUGCGGAAGGUGGCUUGCGCUUUCGGAUAAAGUGUUUAUAGCCCUAUACUUCUAGCAAUCGGAGAGAUUGAGGUCUGCAGCGUAGAUCCUUCGGGGUUAGAUACAUUUGUGCUAAGUUAUAGCUUUUCAUAGACAACUUGUUGACUAUGUUUAGUCUUGUAGCUUACUCGCUUAUGCUAUUUUACCUACGCUUAGGAUGUUGAUAUGCAUGACUGAUAU